This 440-nucleotide ribosomal RNA is filed under the name uncultured bacterium. RNAcentral's name for it is "partial 16S ribosomal RNA". It matches the Rfam family "Bacterial small subunit ribosomal RNA", at positions 338 to 795 of the family's 1533-position model. The record is from RNAcentral.
UCUACGGGUGGCAGCAGUGGGGAAUAUUGCACAAUGGGGGAAACCCUGAUGCAGCGACGCCGCGUGAGCGAUGAAGUAUUUCGGUAUGUAAAGCUCUAUCAGCCGGGAAGAAAAUGACGGUACCUGACUAAGAAGCCCCGGCUAACUACGUGCCAGCAGCCGCGGUAAUAUGAAGGGGGCAAGCGUUAUCCGGAUUUACUGGGUGUAAAGGGAGCGUAGACGGCGGUGCACGCCAGAUGUGAAAGCCUGGGGCUCAACCCCGGGACUGCAUUUGAAACUGUGCUGCUAGAGUGUCGGAGAGGCAGGCGGAAUUCCUGGUGUAGCGGUGAAAUGCGUAGAUAGUAGGAGGAACACCAGUGGCGAAGGCGGCCUGCUGGACGAUGACUGACGUUGAGGCUCGAAAGCGUGGGGAGCAAACAGGAUUAGAUACCCGAGUAGUC